GGAUGAAGAACGCAGUGAAAUGCGAUAAGUAAUGUGAAUUGCAGAAUUCAGUGAAUCAUCGAAUCUUUGAACGCACAUUGCGCCCCUUGGUAUUCCGAGGGGCAUGCCUGUUCGAGCGUCAUAUUAACCACUCCCGCUUGCGGGGUCUUGGGCUUCGCCUCCGGGCGGGCCUUAAAAUCAGUGGCGGUGCCGUCGGGCUCUACGCGUAGUAAAUUUUCUCGCGAUAGGGUCCCGGUGGAUGCUUGCCAACAACCCCCAACUUCUUAAGGUUGACCUCGGAUCAGGUAGGGAUACCCGCUGAACUUAAGCAUAUCAAUAAGCGGAGGA
RNAcentral lists this unclassified non-coding RNA (327 nucleotides) under soil metagenome. Its description in RNAcentral is "partial contains 5.8S ribosomal RNA, internal transcribed spacer 2, and large subunit ribosomal RNA". The stretch from base 2 to 121 matches the Rfam family "5.8S ribosomal RNA", at positions 35 to 154 of the family's 154-position model. The record is from RNAcentral.